AUGCCGUUUUUUCCUCCGAGGUCAGCGGUUGCGAGCCGGGUGUGCAAUGGAACUGCCUUUGCGCCCGUACACCACGCCCGACUGCGGUUGCCGUCUCCCAUGACUUGCCACUUGCGCUCCCCUCGCGGUUCCAUCACUCCCCAACCCACCCAUCCACACCGGUUGCAUUUGAUUGGAGGAGAGACCGAGAGGAGAAGAAGGCGGCGGCGGCGGAAGAGUCGACGACAUUCGCGGUCGUUGCUAGGGUUCGCCGGACCGGAGCGUCAUCGCCGAAGCAGCCGCAGAUUGAAGAUUCCGGCCGAUUCGCGGUGCUCCGGUGUCCUCGUCGGUGGCGGAGUCGCGUGCUUGCCAUUUAGGACGGCAUUGCGCAGUUUUGUCGCCGCCGCGGUGGCAGUCAUGCCGGUGUGGCUCGCCUGCACAAUGGCUCGCGGCGACCAUCAAGAUGAUGAUGAUGACUUCAUGGAGUUACCGCGACAGAAUCGCGCGACUGGUUGGAUAAAAGAUGGCGAUGAGAAGAGGAAACGUCAUCGCAAUAGGGCUUCGCAAGAACGCCUGACUAUAUUGACUGAGGGAUUUACUGAUGAGCAGAAGGGAGCUGCCGGUGAGAUGGGGAUGCAGGCUCUGAUGGAUGUUCGAUGCAAGAAUCUAGUGAACCAUGUAUGCGACUGGCUCGGUGAGAUUUAUGAUCCUGCCUCCAGGGAAUUCGUGAUUCCUGGACGUGGAAGACUGCCUUUGGAUGAGGAAUCUGUCUUCUGCACGUUGGGUGUUCCCUGUGGAGAAAUCAAAGUCCCAUAUGAGGUGAAUAAUAAGAAUGAGGAAGCCUUAUUCGCCUGUUUGUUUCCUGGGAUGGCAUCCAUGCCGAAUACGACUGUGCUGGCAACUUUGUUGGAGGGCUUGAAAACCCAUGGCGAGGUAUUUACGAUGAAGCUACUCAUGUACCUGAUCUCAGCUGUCUUUGCGCCUACCACAUCUCUUUGCCCAAGCAACAAGUGCUUCCCCAUCCUGCUCAUGUACGUCGAUUGUCUUGAUCUGUCCACUAUCGACUUUACUGGGAUAGGAGGUCCGUCACCUCCACAUAAGUGUAUCUGCAUGGACCUGAUGGUCAAGCAUGCUAUAGACUACAGUGUGUUUGGUGGGCCACGAAACUUUGGCAAGUGGAUGGAUGCGAGGGCACCUGUUGAGCAUCUAGUUGGGAAGUUUGCUUCCGGCAUGACCAGCUUGCUCGGGAAGUUGGUUGAGGGUUGGACGGCACUUAAUGGCUCUGACAGUGAUGCGGAGCUCCCUGACACGCAAGAUGAAAUAGAUGGAGAUGCUGGUCUCGACAAGGAGGAUGAUGAUGACAUGCAGAAUGUGCAACAUGAAAUCAACGACGAUGAGCAUGUUGAAGUUCGUGUAGGUGGUAAGAAGGAUAAGUCUGCACCAAAUGUUCCUCCACCGGAGAAAGUCAUUGAACAAACAAUUACGAGAGACACGGGGGUGUCGCCCUCAAAGAGGGGCAGGGCUCCAGAGGAUGUCGGGCAGGGCUCUGCUGGCAAGAGGUCUAGGACCGACCCCAUAGCUGCUAGGAGGAGUGAGGCGACAGCUGGUGGACGAGCAGUUAAGAAGAAACAAGCACCAACGCCAACUCUUGUUUUUGCCCGGUUGAACAAGGGUGUUCCUUCUGCUGGUGACACCACUUUCACUAGAUCAUACACAACUUUUUCACUUGAUACAUUUAUGUGGCAACUACUAUUUGCUUCUCAUGGCAGCUGCAUAGCUUGCCACAUGGGCUACUGCCAUCAGUCCCACAUGGCAACUGAUGUUUUUCAUGAUCUAUUUUUUGCUGCAUGGCAACUCCUGCUUGUUUUGGUGAAGAAGACUACUACACGCGUGACCAAACACAAUCUUAGAGACCCACUCGAACGCAUUCAUUCCAAGUUGUUGACAAGAGGCAACUCAGAUGUUCAUGAGGCGCCAGUCGACAAAACUGCUGUUGUACCGUCCACUAUUCCCACUAGCUCCAAUGCAGGCGACCAACCAUCUCCACCGGUUGUAGAUGUGCAGACUACAACAGCAGUCAUCCGUACAUCUGGGAGUGAUGAGUCAGUAUCUACCAGGACUGCUGAGAUAUUGCCCACGCUGGUGGCAAUGGGGGAUGCUGUUGUGACCCAUGCCACCCGAUCAGCAAGCGUUGAAGUGGACGCUCCUGAGAUCAACCUAAACAAGGAAGAUUCCCGCUCAUCUGACACGGAUUCCAAGCGUGUGGCUGCUGGUCUACCACCUAGGCGGUGUAGCCCCCGGAAGCAUCCUGCACACACAUCCAAUGCACCAGAUGUAGCUAGGAGCAGCAGAGAUGACUCUGGUUAUGUGCCUGCUUCCACACUAUUCCCACCUCAUGCAAAAAGCAAUGCUAUGGAGAAAAUGGAAGUCCGGAGUACAACUGACGCAGGUGGCAAGCCAUGCAUGACUGAAGGAGCUCCCAAUCAACAUUGGCAUCCCCUAUCGCCAAACAAGAAGAUUGGCAAGAAAGUUGCGAUUGAGACCGCUGACAGCAUGCCCACGCCUAUCAAUAAGCCUGAUGAUUCUGCAACAGACGAGGAGAGGCACCCAAUGGCUUUCACCCCACCGAGCUUUAGCCUUGGCAUCGAUCGCAGUCAAGAUGGACCAGUGGUGCGAGAUGUUGUGUCUGUUGCCUUUGCUUUCCCGGUAGGCAUGGCCCCAAUGAUGGAGCAGCCAAUGGCUGAAGACGUUUGUCACAAGCUUUUUUGGUUUCUUACUGGCGAUGGAAAAUCUCAUGAGAUGCACAUGGCAGCUGCAGUUUGCUACCACAUGGCACCUAUACCCGAGGAUAUUUCGCCAUCAUUUGAUGAAGCUUACCGCAGGAUUGAGGAGGAAGCAUUGAAGAGGAGGUCCUCAUGGAGUCAGGGGCAAUCAAGUUCUAACGUGCUUGCUGAGUCUAUAUCCAAGGAUACUGUUAGAAGUUCCACCCCUGGAUGUGUGAGGCAGAACAGGGUAGUUCACGCACCACCCACGGAUGACUAUGAGCCCGAAGGUAAGGCCACAAAGGAUCAGAACCAUCUGUAUGAUAUUGUCAAGUGUUUUGGAAAUGUGAGGUCGAACAGCAAGCACAUGAAGGAGCUGAAAGCCUCAUGUUCGGACAAAACCAAAAUCAUACAAUGUGAUGCGACAUACAUCGACAUGGGUAAUCUUGCUGAGAUCGUGAGGCCACUUGGUAAAAUGUCCAAGAAUGUAGUUGCGUGUGGGAUUGACUUCAUCAAUAGGCAUAUGGAGAUUUGUCCCGACAAGACGAUUAUGCAGUACAACAUGACCUGCAAAAUAUGGGAUGGUGACUUCCACCAUAAAAUCGCGAGGAAGCAUUUCACUGCGCAUGGUGAAUUCAAGCUCACACUGAAGAAAUAUCCAUGCUUCAUAUGUGGCAGCAGCUGCCAUGUCAUGUUCCCCAUGUUCCAGGAGCUUGCACCAGACAACCCAAAUGACAAGUGUGGUCACCAUUAUGCAAUUUGCCUUGACCUGAAGAACCAACGAUUUGAGGUGCUCGAUUCAAUGCAUGACUGUGGAUUUCACACGCUGGAAUACCUUGCAAAGUGGGAAGGUCGACAGGUCCCUGUCAUCACAGUUGCAAUGGUCGUUGAGCUCCAUAAAAUAUACACAUGGAACUGGUUGAUGAAUGAAGAUUUCAACACGUGGGCAAACACAUGA
Molecule: ribosomal RNA, 3699 nt
Filed under: Triticum aestivum (bread wheat)
Lineage: Eukaryota; Viridiplantae; Streptophyta; Magnoliopsida; Poales; Poaceae
Description: partial small subunit ribosomal RNA
Source: RNAcentral